CCUACGGGGGGCAGCAGUAGGGAAUCUUCCACAAUGGGCGAAAGCCUGAUGGAGCAACGCCGCGUGAGUGAUGAAGGCCUUCGGGUUGUAAAACUCUGUCAUUCGGGACGCGGUACCGGAGGAGGAAGCCCCGGCUAACUACGUGCCAGCAGCCGCGGUAAUACGUAGGGGGCAAGCGUUGUCCGGAUUCAUUGGGCGUAAAGCGCGCGCAGGCGGUGAUGUAAGUCUGAGGUGAAAGCCCGAAGCUCAACUUCGGGACUGCCUUGGAUACUGCGUCGCUUGAGGAUAGGAGAGGCAAGGGGAAUUCCACGUGUAGCGGUGAAAUGCGUAGAGAUGUGGAGGAACACCUGUGGCGAAGGCGCCUUGCUGGCCUAUUUGACGCUGAGGCGCGAAAGCGUGGGGAGCAAACAGGAUUAGAUACCCUUGUAGUC
This 431-nucleotide ribosomal RNA is filed under the name uncultured bacterium. Its description in RNAcentral is "partial 16S ribosomal RNA". It matches the Rfam family "Bacterial small subunit ribosomal RNA", at positions 338 to 795 of the family's 1533-position model. The record is from RNAcentral.